Molecule: ribosomal RNA, 484 nt
Filed under: uncultured bacterium
Lineage: Bacteria
Description: bacterial SSU rRNA
Rfam family: Bacterial small subunit ribosomal RNA
Source: RNAcentral
UCAGGAUGAACGCUGGCGGCGCGCUUAACACAUGCAAGUCGAACGGUUAAGGCACCCUCGGGUGCGAAUAGAGUGGCGAACGGCUGAGUAACACGUGGGCAACCUGCCCCCCGCACCGGGAUAGCCUCGGGAAACCGUGGGUAAUACCCGGAUACUCCGGGACCUCCGCAUGGCGGUCCCGGGAAAGCAAUGCACGGCGGGGGAUGGGCCCGCGGCCUGUUAGCUCGUUGGCGGGGUAACGGCCCACCAAGGCGAUUAUGGGUAGCCGGGUUGAGAGACCGACCGGCCAGAUUGGGACUGAGACACGGCCCAGACUCCUACGGGAGGCAGCAGUGGGGAAUCUUGCACAAUGGGCGAAAGCCUGAUGCAGCGACGCCGCGUACGGGAAGAAGGCAUUCGUGUUGUAAACCGCUUUCAGCAGGGACGAGGCGCAAGUGACGGUACCUGCAGAAGAAGCCCCGGCUAACUACGUGCCAGCCGCGGC